RNAcentral lists this long non-coding RNA (261 nucleotides) under Lathyrus oleraceus (garden pea). RNAcentral's name for it is "Pisum sativum (pea) long non-coding RNA (PSAT_LNC024047)". Lineage: Eukaryota; Viridiplantae; Streptophyta; Magnoliopsida; Fabales; Fabaceae. The record is from RNAcentral.
UUUGGUCGGGCCAAAUACUUUAAGAUGGGAGGGUUAUCUCUAUUCUUGAGUGACCGCCUAACUCUCCCCUUCCUUAUUUUUUAUUUUUUUAUACAUUUUUUAUCCAUUUUCUUAGUUUUGGGCCUCAGUUUAUAAAAUAUGCUUAAUUGUAUUGUCACCUUUUGCAUGCUUGUGCUUUUUCGUUUCAUAUUGUGUUCUUUUCAAUUGUUUCCCGUCGCCUUUUUCAUGUCGAGGGAAGAGAAAAACCAAGGCUUGUUUUCG